RNAcentral lists this ribosomal RNA (301 nucleotides) under uncultured bacterium. RNAcentral describes it as "partial 16S ribosomal RNA". It matches the Rfam family "Bacterial small subunit ribosomal RNA", at positions 509 to 807 of the family's 1533-position model. The record is from RNAcentral.
CAGUAGCCGCGGUAAUACGUAGGGUGCGAGCGUUAAUCGGAAUUACUGGGCGUAAAGGGCUCGCAGGCGGUUUCUUAAGUCUGAUGUGAGAGCCCCCGGCUCAACCGGGGAGGGUCAUUGGAAACUGGGAAACUUGAGUACAGGAGAGGAAAGCGGAAUUCCCAGUGUAGCGGUGAAAUGCGUAGAUAUUGGGAGGAACACCAGUGGCGAAGGCGGCUUUCUGGACUGCAACUGACGCUGAGGCUCGAAAGCCAGGGGAGCGAACGGGAUUAGAUACCCGGGUAGUCCCUGUCUCUUAUAC